This 400-nucleotide ribosomal RNA is filed under the name uncultured bacterium. RNAcentral's name for it is "bacterial SSU rRNA". It matches the Rfam family "Bacterial small subunit ribosomal RNA", at positions 356 to 773 of the family's 1533-position model. The record is from RNAcentral.
AGGGAAUAUUGCGCAAUGGGGGGAACCCUGACGCAGCGACGCCGCGUGAGCGAUGAAGGCCUUCGGGUCGUAAAGCUCUGUCCUAUGGGACGAAGAGGACGGUACCAUAGGAGGAAGCCCCGGCUAACUACGUGCCAGCAGCCGCGGUAAUACGUAGGGGGCGAGCGUUGUCCGGAAUUACUGGGCGUAAAGGGUGCGUAGGCGGAUAUGCAAGUCCGGUGUGAAAUGCGCCGGCUUAACCGGUGAGCUGCAUUGGAAACUGUAUAUCUAGAGUGCAGGAGAGGGGAGCGGAAUUCCUAGUGUAGCGGUGGAAUGCGUAGAUAUUAGGAGGAACACCAGUGGCGAAGGCGGCUUCCUGGACUGUAACUGACGCUGAGGCACGAAAGCUGGGGUAGCGAAC